AUGGCUGUCGUCAGCUCGUGUCGUGAGAUGUUGGGUUAAGUCCGUAACGAGCGCAACCCUGUCCUUAGUUACCAGCACGUAUGGUGGGCACUCUAAGGAGACUGCCGGUGACAAACCGGAGGAAGGUGGGGAGUGACGUCAAGUCAUCAUGGCCCUUACGGCCUGGGCUACACACGUGCUACAAUGGUCGGUACAAAGGGUUGCCAAGCCGCGAGGUGGAGCUAAUCCCAUAAAACCGAUCGUAGUCCGGAUCGCAGUCUGCAACUCGACUGCGUGAAGUCGGAAUCGCUAGUAAUCGUGAAUCAGAAUGUCACGGUGAAUACGUUCCCGGGCCUU
Molecule: ribosomal RNA, 336 nt
Filed under: uncultured Pseudomonas sp.
Lineage: Bacteria; Pseudomonadati; Pseudomonadota; Gammaproteobacteria; Pseudomonadales; Pseudomonadaceae
Description: bacterial SSU rRNA
Rfam family: Bacterial small subunit ribosomal RNA
Source: RNAcentral